UAGGGGGCAAGCGUUAUCCGGAUUUACUGGGUGUAAAGGGAGCGUAGACGGCGCUGCAAGUCUGGAGUGAAAGCCCGGUGCUUAACACCGGGACUGCUUUGGAAACUGUAACGCUGGAGUGCCGGAGGGGCAGGCGGAAUUCCUGGUGUAGCGGUGAAAUGCGUAGAUAUCAGGAAGAACACCAGUGGCGAAGGCGGCCUGCUGGACGGUAACUGACGUUGAGGCUCGAAAGCGUGGGGAGCAAA
Molecule: ribosomal RNA, 245 nt
Filed under: uncultured bacterium
Lineage: Bacteria
Description: partial 16S ribosomal RNA
Rfam family: Bacterial small subunit ribosomal RNA
Source: RNAcentral